This 379-nucleotide ribosomal RNA is filed under the name uncultured eukaryote. RNAcentral's name for it is "partial 18S ribosomal RNA". It matches the Rfam family "Eukaryotic small subunit ribosomal RNA", at positions 592 to 976 of the family's 1831-position model. The record is from RNAcentral.
CAAUAGCGUAUAUUAAAGUUGUUGCGGUUAAAAAGCUCGUAGUUGGAUUUCUGCCGAGGACGACCGGUCCGCCCUCUGGGUGUGUAUCUGGUUUGGCCUGGGCAUCUUCUUGGAGAACGUAGCUGCACUUGACUGUGUGGUGCGGUGUCCAGGACUUUUACUUUGAGGAAAUUAGAGUGUUUCAAGCAGGCACACGCCUUGAAUACAUUAGCAUGGAAUAAUAAGAUAGGAUUACGGUCCGUUUUUAUUGGUUUAGCGGCCGUGAUAAUGAUUAAUAGGAACAGUCGGGGGCAUUUGUAUUUAACUGUCAGAGGUGAAAUUCUUGGAUUUGUUAAAGACAAACUACUGCGAAAGCAUUUGCCAAGGAUGUUUUCAUUGA